Molecule: microRNA, 22 nt
Filed under: Octopus vulgaris (common octopus)
Lineage: Eukaryota; Metazoa; Mollusca; Cephalopoda; Octopoda; Octopodidae
Also listed under: 1 other name
Description: Ovu-Mir-1984-P4_5p (mature (guide))
Source: RNAcentral
UGCCCUAUACCCCAGUCACUGA